CAAAGAUGAACUGUUGAUUAUUGGUUAUACAGUUGUAUAUCUUUGGUCGUAGUGCAAAGAUGAAUUUAUUAGUUUGAUUAUGAGCAGGAAUUGUGAUUUGGUAUAACCAUGAUUUUUGAUGUUUCAGGUGAAGAUAGGUGAUGUAAAUUAUCUUCGUCCUGGGUGCGAAAAGGAAUUCAGAAUCACAAUUAUGAUUAUGAGUUAUUCAUAUAAUUGUGGAC
This 221-nucleotide long non-coding RNA is filed under the name Panax ginseng (ginseng). Its description in RNAcentral is "long non-coding RNA (PGIN_LNC002593)". Lineage: Eukaryota; Viridiplantae; Streptophyta; Magnoliopsida; Apiales; Araliaceae. The record is from RNAcentral.